GACGAACGCUGGCGGCGUGCUUAACACAUGCAAGUCGAACGGAAAGGCCCUGCUUUUGUGGGGUGCUCGAGUGGCGAACGGGUGAGUAACACGUGAGUAACCUGCCCUUGACUUUGGGAUAACUUCAGGAAACUGGGGCUAAUACCGGAUAGGAGCUCCUGCUGCAUGGUGGGGGUUGGAAAGUUUCGGCGGUUGGGGAUGGACUCGCGGCUUAUCAGCUUGUUGGUGGGGUAGUGGCUUACCAAGGCUUUGACGGGUAGCCGGCCUGAGAGGGUGACCGGCCACAGUGGGACUGAGAUAGGGCCCAGACUCUUACGGGAGGCAGCAGUGGGGAAUAAUGCACAAUGGGCGGAAGCCUGAUGCAGCAACGCCGCGUGAGGGAUGACGGCCGUCGGGUUGUAAACCGCUUUCGCCUGUGACGAAGCGUGAGUGACGGUAAUGGGUAAAGAAGCACCGGCUAACUACGUG
Molecule: ribosomal RNA, 468 nt
Filed under: uncultured bacterium
Lineage: Bacteria
Description: partial 16S ribosomal RNA
Rfam family: Bacterial small subunit ribosomal RNA
Source: RNAcentral